RNAcentral lists this ribosomal RNA (207 nucleotides) under uncultured bacterium. RNAcentral's name for it is "partial 16S ribosomal RNA". It matches the Rfam family "Bacterial small subunit ribosomal RNA", at positions 568 to 774 of the family's 1533-position model. The record is from RNAcentral.
CUAGUAGGCGGUUCGUCGCGUCCGGUGUGAAAGUCCAUCGCUUAACGGUGGAUCCGCGCCGGGUACGGGCGGGCUUGAGUGCGGUAGGGGAGACUGGAAUUCCCGGUGUAACGGUGGAAUGUGUAGAUAUCGGGAAGAACACCAAUGGCGAAGGCAGGUCUCUGGGCCGUUACUGACGCUGAGGAGCGAAAGCGUGGGGAGCGAACA